Long non-coding RNA from Astatotilapia calliptera (eastern happy), 3932 nucleotides. Lineage: Eukaryota; Metazoa; Chordata; Actinopteri; Cichliformes; Cichlidae. The record is from Ensembl.
CUAUUGCAAAGCUCUGGAAUGAGGAAGGGCGAGGUGCUUCUCACAAGUCAAGGGAGCCAACUCAUCAGUUCCCCAGAGACUCAUUCAGUACAAAGCAGCAGCCCUCAACACCUUCAGCAGCCAAUCUUGGUCCAGUCCAUGUGCACAAUCCAGGCACAGUCAUCUUUAGCUUGCUCAGUCAAUUUACGGGUCAAGUCGGGCCAACGACCGAAUGUGGGAAGACGGCUGAGAGAGCGAGGAGAGAGGAAGAGGAUGAGAGAAACUGUCCAGUGUUUCAUCCUGCAUCUUCUCCCAGCAUUCAUCUCUCUGAGGAGGAGAGGAGUGGAGAGAAUGACACCAUUUUCUUCCCUUCCCAGGAGCAGGGGAAAGACUCCCACAUGUCGAAAGAGGAGAUCCUAUGAUGCAUCUCAAAAAAUUCAGAAGACUUGGAUACAACAAACUUUGAAACCACAGAUGAGUAUGGAUCAUAUUCGUCUUUCCUCAGCAAGCUGCGGAUGCACUGACUUUGUUUCUGCAGCUUCUGGAAAACACUCACCUCAGAAAUGUAUUAAAUCUCGGAAGAACAGCUGCAAAGUGGUCUUCUUUGUAAGUUAUGAUUUACGAACUCUUGUAUAUACUUUUAAUAAGCUUCUUUGGCUCAGUGCAAAGAAUGCCAUCCAAGGUGUAGAAAGCUUUGUUAGGUAGUUAUUAGGUAGUUUUAGUCAAAUUUAUUAAGUUUAUUUUAAAUGAAAAAGAAAUAGAAGAAAAAAUGUACACAGAACAUCCACAUGUGAUAUUGAAAAGCUGGCUACAAAAGCAGCUAAUUAUGUCUGCACAUAUAUGUAGAUAUACAUGAAAUAUGUUUAACUUUAUGUACUAUAGUACAUACUUUCCUUUCACUGCCACAAUGUCCCCUCUGUCUUAUCAGUUCCAAGAUUUUUACCCACCACAAUUUUAUACACUUCAAAGUCACAGAUGCCAAAAUGAUCAUCUGUCCUCUCAGGAAACAGCAACAGUUUCAAACUUUCCACCUUCUGGCAUUUCACUGAUCAGCACGGCGCGGAGUGCCUUUUAGCUCCAUUUAAAUGUCCAAAAGCAGUGACGAAUGUUUUCCAUCUGGGAUGUGCCACCGAGUGUCUUGUUAGGUUCUCGCUCCUCCAAAUUCCAGAUCUGGUCUUUAACACAUAGGUUGGUCACAUUUCCCGCACACUUCCUGGACGGGCUUGGACACUUCUUCAUCACAUGCAGGUUGUGUGGCAGGUUUUUCAGCCAAGAAGUACCCUAAGCAGCAAGAAAUGACGGGAUGGUUUUAAUAAGAAUUUAAACAUUUGGGGGUAUUUAUAACACAAAAGUUCUAAGAAAAAUAUUAAGUGAUUUAAAAGAAAUCUACUAACCGUGAGUGAACCUAAUCCAGACUAAAAAUGGCUUGAUUUUUGUCACAACAACCAGUGCAAUUCCUGUACACAGGAGGGCAAUUAUCACCAGGAACCACACCGUAUCUAUAAUAACACAUGAGAGAGUUAGUUUCCAUAAUUUACAUCAGUUCAAUAAUUUCACAGGCAACACAAUUUGGCUACUUUACCUGCAAUCGGUUUAGUGGCGAGCCUGGUGGUGGUAACAUCAGGUGUCGCCACUAGAGGGAAACAUAAAAAAAAGAGAACCUUAUAAGUUCACUGCAGGCAUUAUUAGUUCGAUGACAAGAUGACACUAUUGUGGCUUGGAUUUGUCAGUGAGCUCACUCUUUUGUCCCUAAUGUUUAACUUAUUUCAUCAUGUGUUUGUGUGUGUGUGUGUGUGUUUGAAUGUGUGUGUCCUUUCUCCACGGUUACUACAGAAGAGGCAAACAGUUACAAGAACAUGCAAAUAGCUUCCAAGCAUUAUUAACAGCUCAUUUGUUUGGAUUAUUUUUAGUCAUGUAACAGUUUCAGCUGAAUCAGAAACAUUUUAGGGAUUCUGACUAUGACCUGUCCACAUUACUGUAUGUAGGCAGGAUUACAGUACAGGAAAACACAUGCUACAACUAGGGCCUCUACAGUGACAUUUAAAAAAAGAGACACAACAGACUGUUUUGCUCACCUGCCCUCGUACAGAGCCCAGAGUGAUAAUAACACAGGACACGACAUUAAGACUUUGAAUCAGUUAACAGAUUCAUGUACUACACCCCUAAAUCUGCCUGUCUUCUAGAACUUGUUAUCAUGGAUUGCUACACUGUUACUGAGUUAUGUUGUAGGGGGGAUGGAGGCAUGAAAGGAAAUUUCCUUUAAGCACUGCGCAGAGCUUUGCCAGGAGGCUGUUGAGGUAGACAAGAGAAGUGCACAAUUCUCACAUUCUCACCUGUGUCUGUGCUCUCCUCUGUGGUUAGGUUUAGGCAACUCAAGCACUUCACAUGAAGUUAGUAAAUUCCCUAACCUUUGUGAAGUGCUGAUGGUGCCAAAACGUAACCAUAAUUAAAAAAAAUCUGUUUAAGCUGUAAGUUGUAAACAACAUUUCUUCAUUGUGUUUCAUGAAAAAUGCGAUCCGAUAACAAAUAUUUUAUUUUUUAAUUUGUUGUUGUUUUAAACACUUUUAAACACUGAUGUUAUCACCUCAGAGUGCAUACUUGUCCCUCGCAGACACAGUGGGUUUAAGGUGGAUGACAUCAGCGUUAAAGGCAUCUAAACUCAUUACUGGCAGACUGAAAGAUGCUAAAAGGCCACAUAGAGCUGACUGACCUCUGUAGGGUUGUGGGUGAUGACUAUCUAUGAUUGGGUUUCUCUAAGCAAGUCUUGACGUUAGUGCUGCUUUACAAUAUCCUGAUGGUACUUUUGUGUUGAUAUCUUCUUUUCUUUGGGUUAAAAUAUGCACUCAAAAAAUUAGUCUUUGCCCUCAUAAACACAAAAUGAAACUGAAGUAUAUCAAAUCAAAGGUUUAUUCAUUUAAUUCAUUAAUCGUGAUUUUUUUUUAGGGAGCUCAAUGUAAGUUUCAUUUGGCCAGAUUCCAUUAAUUUGAACAUUUUACGUUGUACUUACGUAACUGAAUUUUUUCAUGUAAUCAGAUUACUUAAAUGCCACCACUUUGGGCAUGAAUAUUUUUUGAGUGUGAAUGUUUCCUUGUUUGUAGGUACCCCACUGGAUCCAGACAAACACGCUAGUAAAUGCUCUUGUGCAUACAUGUACCCCACUGGAUCCAGACAAACACGCUAGUAAAUGCUCUUGUGCAUACAUGUAAAUAAACAGUUUCUUUUAACAAACUUAUUACUCUGAGCUACUUUCAGUCUUGUUUUCAUAAAAUAAGGCAUUUGAACUCAUGGGUUCUCAGGAGUAUUUUUAAAUAAAAAGAAGUUAUAUUCCCAGAUGUAGUUAAAUGAGUAACUUCUCAUGAAAAAUGAGCAUUUGCUGCCCUUUUGUGGUUCAGCCUGUACACUCAGACAAGUUUGACGCCUAAAUCAUUUUGGUGUAAAAGAUGAGUAUAUCUGUUAUGUUAUUGCUUUUCAUGGUAGUGUUAAAUUAGUCUCUGAUCUUAUGUCUUUGGGCAACGCAUCUACAAUGUUAUUUUUUGUGCUUUUACACUGAUAAUCUGUAGCAAAUUGUUAAUGAAAGAAUGCAAAACGACAAAGCUCCUUAAUGAGAAUGUGAUGCUGCACGUGGCCCUCAAGUGUGUUAUGGUUGAAACUAUUCAAAACAAAACACUGCAAUGAAUAAAUGAUAACCACUGUGUCAACAAUUGUUUCACAUUUAGUUGACUGUGCCGAGAAGGGCUCACUUACCAGUAGUAGAUGGAGGGACGGUGGGUUUGAUUGUGGAUACACACUCUUUACAGUCUUGGUCUUUGCACUUGUAGCCAGCCUUACAUGUGCACACAGUGUUAUGAGUCGCGCUGCAUUCUGUCUUGACCUCCAUGUUUGCUGUGGAAAAACACGGUCAUUGUUAAAAGUGAUUUAAAGACGGAUAAAGUUGAAAGUGUGUGCAAAGGAUG